ACGUAGGGGGCAAGCGUUGUUCGGAAUCACUGGGCGUAAAGGGAGCGUAGGCGGAAGGAUAAGUUAGAAGUAUAAUAUAUGGGCUUAACCCGUAGUCUGCUUCUAAUACUGUUUUUCUUGAGUAUGGGAGAGGGAGAUGGAAUUCCAGGUGUAGCGGUGGAAUGCGUAGAUAUCUGGAAGAACACCAGCUGCGAAGGCGGUCUCCUGGCCCAAUACUGACGCUGAGGCUCGAAAGCUAGGGGAGCAAACAGGAUUAGAUACCCUGGUAGUCCUAGCCGUAAACGAUGGACACUAGAUGCUGGAGGAGUCAAUCCUUUCGGUGUCGUAGCUAACGCGUUAAGUGUCCCGCCUGGGGAGUACGAUCGCAAGGUUG
RNAcentral lists this ribosomal RNA (373 nucleotides) under uncultured bacterium. RNAcentral describes it as "bacterial SSU rRNA". It matches the Rfam family "Bacterial small subunit ribosomal RNA", at positions 525 to 896 of the family's 1533-position model. The record is from RNAcentral.